GUGGGGAAUAUUGGGCAAUGGGGGCAACCCUGACCCAGCAACGCCGCGUGAGGGAAGAAGGUUUUCGGAUUGUAAACCUCUGUCCUAUGGGAAGAAGGAAGUGACGGUACCAUAGGAGGAAGCCCCGGCUAACUACGUGCCAGCAGCCGCGGUAAUACGUAGGGGGCGAGCGUUGUCCGGAAUUACUGGGCGUAAAGGGUGCGCAGGUGGCCUGACAAGUCAGAUGUGAAAUACCGAUGCUGAACGUCGGGGCUGCAUUUGAAACUAUGAGGCUGGAGUGCAGGAGAGGGAAGCGGAAUUCCUAGUGUAGCGGUGAAAUGCAUAGAUAUUAGGAGGAACACCAGUGGCGAAGGCGGCUUUCUGGACUGUAACUGACACUGAGGCACGAAAGCGUGGGGAGCAAACAGGAUUAGAAACCCCGGUAGUCC
This 428-nucleotide ribosomal RNA is filed under the name uncultured bacterium. Its description in RNAcentral is "partial 16S ribosomal RNA". It matches the Rfam family "Bacterial small subunit ribosomal RNA", at positions 354 to 796 of the family's 1533-position model. The record is from RNAcentral.